GGCUACGGCCACGCCACCCUGAACACGCCCGAUCCCGUCUCCUCUCGGAAGCUAAGCAGGGUCGGGCCUGGUUAGUACUUGGAUGGGAGACCACCUUAGAAGACCAGGUGCUGUAGGUG
RNAcentral lists this ribosomal RNA (119 nucleotides) under Pteropus alecto (black flying fox). The record is from RNAcentral. Lineage: Eukaryota; Metazoa; Chordata; Mammalia; Chiroptera; Pteropodidae.